CACCCCCUGGGUGUCAGCACACCCCGCCCCGGCACCCCUGUGGAUCAGCUACUGUGGGUCACUGAGCGCAUGGGCUGCCACGGGGACCCGCACCCCUAAAGACACACAGAGCCCAAGGAGCGGUGGCCCUGUUAUCUGCCCAGUGAGCUCAUCACGCGAUUGCCUGCCUCGGACAAGGAAGCACCUGAGAGGUGGGAACCGAGGCUCAGAGAGGGAAACGGGCUUGCCUCACAUCAUCCAGGGCAGCAGAGGCAGAGCUGGGACCAGACUCACUUCCCGAUGCAAAGUGCAGAGCACCAUUUCCACUGCCCCACGAACCUGAAGGCAAACAUUCCCCACCCCAGUAACUGGAAGGCUACUACGUGUACCAGAGGAUGGCUGAUGUCUCUUGAGGCCGAGUUGGGAGCAGAACGAACCUACUUACAUGGUCCUUCCAUCCGAUCCAAUUCAG
This is a long non-coding RNA of Orcinus orca (killer whale), 451 nucleotides long. RefSeq lists it as uncharacterized. Lineage: Eukaryota; Metazoa; Chordata; Mammalia; Artiodactyla; Delphinidae. The record is from RefSeq and is a predicted model, not a curated record. The transcript has 3 exons.